AUUUUUGUAGUUGAAAAACAACAAUGGUUUUUCAUGCCAUAGGUAUGGUUAAAAUCCAUAUUAAAAUA
RNAcentral lists this transfer RNA (68 nucleotides) under Monodelphis domestica (gray short-tailed opossum). It matches the Rfam family "tRNA". From Rfam's summary of the family: Transfer RNA (tRNA) molecules are approximately 80 nucleotides in length. Their secondary structure includes four short double-helical elements and three loops (D, anti-codon, and T loops). Further hydrogen bonds mediate the characteristic L-shaped molecular structure. tRNAs have two regions of fundamental functional importance: the anti-codon, which is responsible for specific mRNA codon recognition, and the 3' end, to which the tRNAs corresponding amino acid is attached (by aminoacyl-tRNA synthetases). tRNAs cope with the degeneracy of the genetic code in two manners: having more than one tRNA (with a specific anti-codon) for a particular amino acid; and 'wobble' base-pairing, i.e. permitting non-standard base-pairing at the 3rd anti-codon position. The record is from Rfam by way of RNAcentral. Lineage: Eukaryota; Metazoa; Chordata; Mammalia; Didelphimorphia; Didelphidae.